ACUGCCCCUUUUUUUGCCUGCGAAUGGCGGCGAUUUGAAGUUGGGGCUUUUCGUUUCCUCCAAAACAUUGAUAUCUGGAAAGGGAGCCCCUUAACACUUUUGGAGGGAACUGGCUGCAGCAUUUGGCGGGGAGAGAUAAACUGGUUUCCCACCUCUGCUUACUCCCACCUUCUCCCCUUAAUCUUCUCUUCCUCUGUGCGAGACUUUUUUCCUUUUUUAUUGUAGACACAGGGUCUUUGUUCUGCUGCCCAGGUUGGAGUGCAGUGGCGUGAUCAUAGCUCACUGCAGCCUCAACCCCCCGGGCCCAAGCGAUCCUUCCACCUCAGCCUCCCGAGUAGCUGGGCCUAGAGGUGCACACCACCAUGCCUGGCUAAUUUUUAAUUUUUUUUGUAGAGAUGGAGCCUUUCUAUGUUGCCAAGCCUAGCCUCGAACUCCUGGCCUCCCAAAAUGUGGGGAAUACAGGCGUGAGCCACUGCACCCCGGGUCAUUCCUCUUUUACUUCCUUGCUGUACCCCAACUAUCCUUCCCCCUCGGUGCCCUUAAAACCUUUGCAUUGGGACUUAACGGUAAUAGAAUGGCAUUCCUCACUGCCUCCGAACCACUCAAGCUGCUGCCCAUGCACUCUCUUCUGCAUGGCUCCUGGACUAAGCAGCCUCCCUUUGAUUAAGCAGCUCUCGGUCCUGGAUGAAUC
RNAcentral lists this long non-coding RNA (691 nucleotides) under Homo sapiens (human). Its description in RNAcentral is "HSALNT0294795". The record is from RNAcentral. Lineage: Eukaryota; Metazoa; Chordata; Mammalia; Primates; Hominidae.